Galleria mellonella (greater wax moth) is the source of this 334-nucleotide long non-coding RNA. RefSeq lists it as uncharacterized. Lineage: Eukaryota; Metazoa; Arthropoda; Insecta; Lepidoptera; Pyralidae. The record is from RefSeq and is a predicted model, not a curated record. The transcript is spliced from 3 exons.
AUUAGAUGUCUCUGUCUAUUUUGGUAUUUUAAUUUCUUUUUAGGAAAGCAAAAUUUGUCUCUGUUGUAGACCUAUCUAUAUCAUUAUUAUUAUUUUCUAACGGUUGUUGCGAAAGCUUGUAUUAGGUAUUCUCCAUUUGUUUGUUUAUCAACAACGUUAACUUCUUUUGGUUAAUUUACGUAUAAUCAUCAGAUGAAUCAUAAAGAUAUCCAAUUAAGCAAAACUUUAUCGUGGCUUUUACGACACGGAGCUACUAAUGAAGGUUUAACACUGAAUCGAAAUACAGCACAGUAGUUCAUGGUACAUACUACAAAUGUUGGCCACAGAUAAAGUG